CUUGAAAUACCACCCUUUAAUGUUUGAUGUUCUAACGUUGACCCGUAAUCCGGGUUGCGGACAGUGUCUGGUGGGUAGUUUGACUGGGGCGGUCUCCUCCUAAAGAGUAACGGAGGAGCACGAAGGUUGGCUAAUCCUGGUCGGACAUCAGGAGGUUAGUGCAAUGGCAUAAGCCAGCUUGACUGCGAGCGUGACGGCGCGAGCAGGUGCGAAAGCAGGUCAUAGUGAUCCGGUGGUUCUGAAUGGAAGGGCCAUCGCUCAACGGAUAAAAGGUACUCCGGGGAUAACAGGCUGAUACCGCCCAAGAGUUCAUAUCGACGGCGGUGUUUGGCACCUCGAUGUCGGCUCAUCACAUCCUGGGGCUGAAGUAGGUCCCAAGGGUAUGGCUGUUCGCCAUUUAAAGUGGUACGCGAGCUGGGUUUAGAACGUCGUGAGACAGUUCGGUCCCUAUCUGCCGUGGGCGCUGGAGAACUGAGGGGGGCUGCUCCUAGUACGAGAGGACCGGAGUGGACGCAUCACUGGUGUUCGGGUUGUCAUGCCAAUGGCACUGCCCGGUAGCUAAAUGCGGAAGAGAUAAGUGCUGAAAGCAUCUAAGCACGAAACUUGCCCCGAGAUGAGUUCUCCCUGACUCCUUGAGAGUCCUGAAGGAACGUUGAAGACGACGACGUUGAUAGGCCGGGUGUGUAAGCGCAGCGAUGCGUUGAGCUAACCGGUACUAAUGAACCGUGAGG
Molecule: ribosomal RNA, 731 nt
Filed under: Escherichia coli
Lineage: Bacteria; Pseudomonadati; Pseudomonadota; Gammaproteobacteria; Enterobacterales; Enterobacteriaceae
Also listed under: 1 other name
Description: bacterial LSU rRNA
Rfam family: Bacterial large subunit ribosomal RNA
Source: RNAcentral